GAAUCUUUGAACGCACAUUGCGCCCUCUGGUAUUCCGGGGGGCAUGCCUGUUCGAGCGUCAUUUCAACCCCUCAAGCCCGGCUUGUGUGAUGGACGACCGUCCGACCGCCUUUGCAUCCCCCGUUCCACCGGGAGAGGAGAAAGGUGGAGGGGACGCGCCCGAAAAGCAGUGGCCAGGCCGCGAUUCCGGGCCCCUGGGCGAAUGGGCAACAAAACCAGCGCCUUCANGACCGGCCGGCUCUCUGGCCCUAGUUUCCGUCGGGAGGACGAAAGGGGGCGACCCCUCUCUCCCCUCCGCAU
Molecule: ribosomal RNA, 300 nt
Filed under: Epidermophyton floccosum
Lineage: Eukaryota; Fungi; Ascomycota; Eurotiomycetes; Onygenales; Arthrodermataceae
Description: eukaryotic LSU rRNA
Rfam family: 5.8S ribosomal RNA (bases 1-61)
Source: RNAcentral